This 1408-nucleotide ribosomal RNA is filed under the name Pediococcus acidilactici. Its description in RNAcentral is "16S ribosomal RNA". It matches the Rfam family "Bacterial small subunit ribosomal RNA". Lineage: Bacteria; Bacillati; Bacillota; Bacilli; Lactobacillales; Lactobacillaceae. The record is from RNAcentral.
GAGUGGCGGACGGGUGAGUAACACGUGGGUAACCUGCCCAGAAGCAGGGGAUAACACCUGGAAACAGAUGCUAAUACCGUAUAACAGAGAAAACCGCCUGGUUUUCUUUUAAAAGAUGGCUCUGCUAUCACUUCUGGAUGGACCCGCGGCGCAUUAGCUAGUUGGUGAGGUAACGGCUCACCAAGGCGAUGAUGCGUAGCCGACCUGAGAGGGUAAUCGGCCACAUUGGGACUGAGACACGGCCCAGACUCCUACGGGAGGCAGCAGUAGGGAAUCUUCCACAAUGGACGCAAGUCUGAUGGAGCAACGCCGCGUGAGUGAAGAAGGGUUUCGGCUCGUAAAGCUCUGUUGUUAAAGAAGAACGUGGGUGAGAGUAACUGUUCACCCAGUGACGGUAUUUAACCAGAAAGCCACGGCUAACUACGUGCCAGCAGCCGCGGUAAUACGUAGGUGGCAAGCGUUAUCCGGAUUUAUUGGGCGUAAAGCGAGCGCAGGCGGUCUUUUAAGUCUAAUGUGAAAGCCUUCGGCUCAACCGAAGAAGUGCAUUGGAAACUGGGAGACUUGAGUGCAGAAGAGGACAGUGGAACUCCAUGUGUAGCGGUGAAAUGCGUAGAUAUAUGGAAGAACACCAGUGGCGAAGGCGGCUGUCUGGUCUGUAACUGACGCUGAGGCUCGAAAGCAUGGGUAGCGAAACAGGAUUAGAUACCCUGGUAGUCCAUGCCGUAAACGAUGAUUACUAAGUGUUGGAGGGUUUCCGCCCUUCAGUGCUGCAGCUAACGCAUUAAGUAAUCCGCCUGGGGAGUACGACCGCAAGGUUGAAACUCAAAAGAAUUGACGGGGGCCCGCACAAGCGGUGGAGCAUGUGGUUUAAUUCGAAGCUACGCGAAGAACCUUACCAGGUCUUGACAUCUUCUGCCAACCUAAGAGAUUAGGCGUUCCCUUCGGGGACAGAAUGACAGGUGGUGCAUGGUUGUCGUCAGCUCGUGUCGUGAGAUGUUGGGUUAAGUCCCGCAACGAGCGCAACCCUUAUUACUAGUUGCCAGCAUUCAGUUGGGCACUCUAGUGAGACUGCCGGUGACAAACCGGAGGAAGGUGGGGACGACGUCAAAUCAUCAUGCCCCUUAUGACCUGGGCUACACACGUGCUACAAUGGAUGGUACAACGAGUCGCGAAACCGCGAGGUUUAGCUAAUCUCUUAAAACCAUUCUCAGUUCGGACUGUAGGCUGCAACUCGCCUACACGAAGUCGGAAUCGCUAGUAAUCGCGGAUCAGCAUGCCGCGGUGAAUACGUUCCCGGGCCUUGUACACACCGCCCGUCACACCAUGAGAGUUUGUAACACCCAAAGCCGGUGGGGUAACCUUUUAGGAGCUAGCCGUCUAAGGUGGGACAGAUGAUUAGGGUGAAGUC